Molecule: ribosomal RNA, 408 nt
Filed under: uncultured bacterium
Lineage: Bacteria
Description: partial 16S ribosomal RNA
Rfam family: Bacterial small subunit ribosomal RNA
Source: RNAcentral
GACGAACGCUGGCGGCGUGCUUAACACAUGCAAGUCGAACGGAGUGUCGAACGGGUGAGUCACACGUGGGUCAUCUGCCUUGGACUUCGGGAUACGCUUGGGAAACUGGGUCUAAUACCGGAUAGUGCAAGAUGAGCUCGCGGCCUAUCAGCGUGUUUGUGGGGUAAUGGCCUACCAAGGCGUCGACGGGUAGACGGCCUGUGAGGGUGUACGGCCAAAUUGGGACGGAGAGACGGCCCAGACUCCUACGGGAGGCAGCCGUGGGGAAUAGUGCACAAGGGGCGGAAGCCUGAUGCAGCGACGCCGCGUGGGGGAUGAAGGCCUUCGGGGUGUAAACUCCUUUCGUCAGGGACGCGGUACCUGUAUAAGAAGCACCGGCUAACUACGUGCCAGCAGCCGCGGUAAUAC